Non-coding RNA from Coturnix japonica (Japanese quail), 1510 nucleotides. Lineage: Eukaryota; Metazoa; Chordata; Aves; Galliformes; Phasianidae. The record is from RefSeq and is a predicted model, not a curated record.
UGAAAUUGGAAUUUGUUAGAGAAGCAACACCAAAAUCCAACAUAAACCCUGUGGUAGUCUAAUCUUCUGACUCGCAACAGCCUUUCCUGCACUACCCAUUCCUAGCACAUGAUUCUCCUGAAAACUACCAUCUACACUUGCCAAGUUGCUCUGAAAGACUCCAGGAACCUUUCUCAAGCCCACAGUAGGGAAGACAUCUGCCUUGCUCCUUCUUUCAUCUACUACUUCUGCAGAUCUUUUGCUCCAGGAUUAUAAGAUUGAGUCUUGAAGAAUGGGAGAGUCUCUGAGAACUACAUCCCAGAGACUACAUUCUACUACAUCCCUUAUCAGUCAUUUUGGGAACUAACAUAAACUGCCAUUGAGUUCAUCUGCAUUUGCAUAUUUGCAUUUGCAUAUGCUCAGAACUUCACCAGAGCAGACCUACAUAAAAAUAAAAAACAUACAAAAUACUAGGUGUACACAAAUGUACUCACUUUAUCAAAUUCACCACUGUAAAUUUUCAGGUAAAGAAGUGGAGAUACUAUUCUUUUUAGUUUUUCUAUUGCAGAAAACAUGUAAGAUUGAAGACUGUAACUUAACUGAUGCCAGGGGUAGGGAAAAAGAGGAAGUAGAAGAAUAAUGUACCAAUAAAAGCUUGACAGUUCUCUGUUUUUUGCCAAUUGUUGAUAAAAUGACAGACGGUAAUGUUUAUGAAAUGUAUAAUUCAAAGCAAAUUUGCCUAGAUAACCAAGUUAAAGAUGCUUUAUCUUUCCUAACAAACAUGAUGCAGAAAUCAGCAAAACCCGAAGUACAUAAUACAAACUGAAAAUGCAAGAAAACAAAUCUUUUCACCUAAGUCAACAUAUUUUCUGAGCACAAAUAAAAUACUUGGCUUUCUUUCAAAAUCUUCACAGCUAAUCAAUAGUUUAGUCAUACGAUGAAAAAUGAUGUAUCUAUAUUCUUCACAAUUGACAUUUCCUAACUGUCUCCAAGGUCGCAUUGAUUGCCAGUUGUUCAGUUUACCCAACUUCUGUUUUGAGCCAAAUAAUAUGAUCUUUGUUUCAUUAAUAUUUAAUAGUAAUUUAGAUUGUGCCAGAUGAUCUUAAAGCUCAUUUAAAUCAGCUUGAAGAUAAUAUUAAGCUUUCUUCUAGUAUAAUCUAUUAUCAUAAAUGAUUGUGUCAUCUGCAUAUAAAUGGUGAGUUGAAUAUGAUAAUGAAGUGCAAAGAUUAUCAAUAUAGAACAACAAAUGCAUCUGACUUAAAAUAAAUCCUUCAGGGACCCAUUUACUCUGUUUUCAGUGGUAAAUGAUGCAUCGUUUCACUUCAAGUAUUCUACAGAACACAUAAAAGAUUUGGAUCAUGAGAUAUAAUAUUUAUCCUGUGUGGGGAAAAAAACAGAAAAUAAAGAUUCCGCAUUGUAGAACUCUUUUCAAGUGUGGUAAUUACAGUUCAUAUAGAUCCAUUAUACUUUUAGCAUGACAGACCUUGAUUAAUUAUUAGUGUUUUUUACAGCAAAGACUGUGUUUUUAUUA